Molecule: ribosomal RNA, 253 nt
Filed under: uncultured prokaryote
Description: partial 16S ribosomal RNA
Rfam family: Bacterial small subunit ribosomal RNA
Source: RNAcentral
UACAGAGGGUGCGAGCGUUAAUCGGAAUUACUGGGCGUAAAGCGCACGUAGGUGGCGACGUAUGUCGGUUGUGAAAGCCCCGGGCUCAACCUGGGAAUUGCAUCCGAAACUGCGUUGCUGGAGUACGGAAGAGGAAGGCGGAAUUCCCGGUGUAGCGGUGAAAUGCGUAGAUAUCUGGAGGAACACCGGUGGCGAAGGCGGCAUCCUGGACCGGUAUUGACGCUGAGGCGCGAAAGCCAGGGGAGCAAACGGG